GGAAUAUUGGGCAAUGAGCGCAAGCUUGACCCAGCGACGCCGCGUGGGUGAUGAAGGCCCUUGGGUCGUAAAACCCUGUCAUGCGGGAAGAAAGGUCCGGGCUCUAACAUAGCCCGGGCUUGACGGUACAGCAGGAGGAAGCCCCGGCUAACGCCGUGCAAGCAGCCGCGGUAAUACGGAGGGGGCGAGCGUUAUUCGGAAUUAUUGGGCGUAAAGGUCAGGUAGGCGGCUUUGCAUGUCUUCUGUGAAAGCCCUCGGCUUAACCGAGGAACCGCAGGAGAAACUGCAUGGCUUGAGUCCGGGAGAGGGUAGCGGAAUUCCCAGUGUAGCGGUGAAAUGCGUAGAUAUUGGGAGGAACACCAGUGGCGAAGGCGGCUACCUGGACCGGUACUGACGCUGAUCUGCGAAAGCUAGGGGAGCAAAC
RNAcentral lists this ribosomal RNA (424 nucleotides) under uncultured bacterium. Its description in RNAcentral is "bacterial SSU rRNA". It matches the Rfam family "Bacterial small subunit ribosomal RNA", at positions 358 to 773 of the family's 1533-position model. The record is from RNAcentral.